Molecule: long non-coding RNA, 2608 nt
Filed under: Equus caballus (horse)
Lineage: Eukaryota; Metazoa; Chordata; Mammalia; Perissodactyla; Equidae
Description: lncRNA (ENSECAG00000051671.1)
Source: RNAcentral
GACUAAGAGAAGUUUAGUGGAUACCAGGGCAAAGGUGGGGUGGGGGGUGGACAAAAAGGGUGAAGUGGUGCACCUACAACAUGACUAACAUUAAAGUACAAUUGAAAUUUCACAAGAUUGUAACCUAUCAAUAACUCAAUUAAAAUAAAAUAAAAUAAAAUAAAAUAAAAUAAAAAAUGAGGCCAAAAAAAAAAAAACACAAACAUAUUAUACUGCUAUACAAAAAUAUCUUUAUUCUAUAUGCUUUUUAAUUUUUUUAACUUUUGACCUUUUUUAUCAGAAACUAAGACACUAGCACUCACAUUAGCCUAUGCCUACACAGGGUCAGGAUUAUCAAUAUCUCUGUCUUUCACUUCCACAUCUUGUCCCACUGUAAUGUUUUCAGGGGCAAUAACUUGCAUGAAGCUUUCAUCUCCUAUAAUAACAAUGUCUUCUUCGGGAUUACUUCCUUAAGGACCUGCCUGUGGCUCUUCUCAAGGAGGUAUCACUCAUUUCAGAAAUAUGUCCAUGGUGGUUUGCUUGAUUUGUUCUUUUUUUCAUCAUAGUUUUACUUGUAAGUAGAUAAUGCACCAUGAACAUCCCUCUCUAUUAAUAAAAACCUUUCAAUGUUGAGAUUUAUGUUUUUAAACUUUUUAAGGAACUUGUUGAGGUCUGAAAAAGCUUCAGCUAAACCCUUCAUUGUGAAUUUUCUUGGAGGUUUUUCUUCUUCCACAGUUUCCUUUCCUCUUGCCUGUUCUUCAGCUAUGUGUUCCUGUUCCAGUUCCGGCUCCAACAACUUCUCGUUAGUUUCUCGGGAACCACCUUUAGAAACUCCUCAAUGUCAUCCUCAUCUGCACCCAAGUUAAAGUUGUUUGCUAUCUGAAUCACAGCUUUGUUGAUAUUUGCAACCUCCUCAUCCAUGGCAAAUCUCUUGAAGCCUUGGACAAACUUCAUGGGUGUCUUUUUCCACAUGUCAGUCAUAUACUCCUUAGUGAUAUCACCCUAAGCCCAAGCAAGGUUCUUGAGGCAGAAUUACAUCACUGUGUUCUCAGUGUCUUCUUCAGUUGCAGCAAUAGCCUAAGUCCUUGUCAGGCGGUAGGCCUUAAAAGCUGCUAUAACUCCUUGAUCCAUUGGUUGGAUCAAAAAGGUGGUGUUUGGAGGGAGAAACACCAUUUUUUAUAUUGCGAUGAAGAUCACCAAUAAAAAGAGAAUGACCAGGAGUAUUAUCAACAAUAAAUAAAAUCUUGAAAAGUAUGUUAUUCUCCAAACAGUACUUCUGCAUUUUGCUGGCUUAGUAAUUCAGGGGAGCAUUUUGGAAGAGGAGCUAGGUCAUCCAUGACUUCUUACUGCUUCUGUAGUACACUGGCAGCAUGUGCUUAUUGGUAUACUUAAAGACCCUGGGGUUCUCUCUGUGACAGAUCACAAAGGGUUCCAAUUUGUAGUCUGUAACAUUGUCUCCAAGCAAGACAGUUAUCCUGUCCUUAAAGCCUUUACAACCUGUCCUUGUCUUGGCCUCCUUAUGGUUGACAAUCGUUUCAGGCAUCCGUUUCCGGAACAGAGGGGUUUCAUCGAUAUUGAAUAUUUGCUCUGACAAGUAAUUUUCCUCCAUAAUCAGCUUACUUAGAGUUUCCAAAAAUUAUUCAGCUGCCUUCACAUCAGCACUUGCAGACUCACCACUCACUUUCACAUUAUGUAGUAAAUAACAGUUCUUGAAUCAUUUAAACCACCCAGAGCUAGCAGUAAGUUCAACAUCAUAGUCUGGUCUACCCUUUUCUUACAACAUCACAAACAAACCUUUUGCAUAGGUUAUGAUCAUCAGGAUGCUGAGAGGGAUAUGCUGCUAUGUCUGGUCUUCAAUCCAGGUCAUUAGAAAUUUCCCCAUGUCUGAUAUAGGCCCUUCUUUUAGUCUCAUUGCCUUCAAUGAGGGAGAUUUUUUUUAACAGCUUCCAUCUCUUUGUUUUUGUUCUUCAAAAUCGUAGCUAUGGUGGAAUGGGACAUACCUGACUGGCUAGCAAUAACCAUCACUGAUUUUCCCUUUUUGUAGUCUUUUUUGUUUUUAAUUUCCUUUCCAGGUCAGUCACUCAACAUGGCCUCUUACUGGCAACAUUAGCAGUGGGAUUUGUUUGCUUAGGGGCUGUAAUGAACACAGGACGAGAUUAAAUCAAGCACAAGGGAAAAUGAUAGAGUCAAGAGAUGCGUUAAGCAUGAGAUGUAUGAGGCUGCUGCCAGUGUAACAUGGCAUGCUGUUUUACAGUAAACUGUUUUUUUGUAUAUAGAAAGAGUAUACUCUAAAAUAAUGAGAAAAUAUAUAGUAUAGUAAAUAAAUACAUAAACCAGUAACAUAAUUGUUUGUUAUCAUUAUCAAGUAUUAUGUACUGUACAUAAUUGUAUGUGCUAUACUUUUAUGCAGCUGACAGUACUGUAGUUUGGUUUACAUCAGCAUCACCACAAAACCCUGAGUAAUGUGUUGCACUAUGAUGUUAUGAUGGCUAUGAUGUCACCAGGUGAUAGGAAUUUUUCAGUUCCAUUAUAUUCUUAUGAGAUCAUCGUUGUAUAGGUAGUUUAUCGUUGACUGAAACGUCAUUCUGUAGCACAUGACUGCAGUUGGAAGCAGUUUGUUUCUUUCUAG